UACAGAGGGUGCGAGCGUUGUCCGGAAUCACUGGGCGUAAAGGGUGCGUAGGCGGGUCUUUAAGUCAGAGGUGAAAGCCCAGAGCUCAACUCUGGAAUGGCCUUUGAGACUAGAGAACUAGGGUACGGGAGAGGUGAGUGGAAUUCCGAGUGUAGAGGUGAAAUUCGUAGAUAUUCGGAAGAACACCAGUGGCGAAGGCGGCUCACUGGCCCGUUACCGACGCUCAGGCGCGACAGCGUGGGGAGCAAACAGG
RNAcentral lists this ribosomal RNA (253 nucleotides) under uncultured bacterium. RNAcentral describes it as "partial 16S ribosomal RNA". It matches the Rfam family "Bacterial small subunit ribosomal RNA", at positions 524 to 776 of the family's 1533-position model. The record is from RNAcentral.